UGCCACUGGAAGCAUAUUGAUAUAAUAACAUGCUAAAAGAAGACAUAUAUUACAUUAAAAAAAAAGAAAAACUGAAAUUGAAGCGGCAGUUUGGCCAUUUUAUAAAAAAUUUGGGCUUGAAGAGAGGAGAUAUAUAAAAGAAUUAAUUUUAAAAGGCAAAAUCAAAGCAAAGACAACGACCGGGACUUCAUUUUAUACAAAAGAAAAUGCAACAAUAUAUAUAUUAUAUUUAUUCCUGCUAUUCCUGCAAGGACCACGGGACGACAGAGCUUUAUUUCGCCAACAUUGUUAAAAUACAUACAUAUAUGUAGAUUAAGAAUAAAAUAAGAUUAUA
Long non-coding RNA from Zeugodacus cucurbitae (melon fly), 334 nucleotides. RefSeq lists it as uncharacterized. NCBI's taxonomy places the organism in Eukaryota, Metazoa, Arthropoda, Insecta, Diptera, Tephritidae. The transcript has 4 exons. The record is from RefSeq and is a predicted model, not a curated record.